This is a long non-coding RNA of Cyanistes caeruleus (blue tit), 2131 nucleotides long. The record is from Ensembl. Lineage: Eukaryota; Metazoa; Chordata; Aves; Passeriformes; Paridae.
CUCUGUUUAACUGGUGAUGACCACACACUUUCAGAGAACAAUCCUCCAGCACAACAAAGGAACCAGGGAUUCCUGCAGCCCUGCCAAGCCUCACAUCCCCACAGCCCCUUAGUGGCCCCCUGAUCCCUCCAGGACUCCUGGCUGAGCCAGCAAGGCAGCCCUCCCCUCGGGGUGUGCAGGAACAUUUGCCACCAGACCUCACCAUAUGAUGGAUCCCGUGGGUCAUCAUCCAGCUCCAGUGCCUGUGCCCGGAUCUGCCUCUGGCUGUGCCCACGGAGGCCUCGUGCUCAGUCUCUGGGAGCAGCCUCUCCACCCUGGCAGUUGGCUCCAUGCUGGGUUUUGCUCACGCUUCUGAGCUCAGGAAGCAAAGUGUUAUCAAGUGCUUCUGAAGUGGUGGUGGCCCUCGAGCUGAGAACCAGAGCACUUCACCAGCUCUUUGUUCCCUUUCUCGGAGCUGUCUGGCUCUUCUCAAAGGACUAACAGUUUGCAGAUGCUGUUUGUUCAAUAAAAAGAGUAACCUCGUCUCCAGCUUCAGUAAAAACGUCUGCAAGAACUGCUGCUUUCUGCCUUGCUCCCAGCAGUGCAUCUGGGUGUUCUGUCACCACAAAAAGCAGAGAGGCCGGGGUUUGAGUCAAGGCCUGAGGUUUGGGGUUUUGGGUUAAGAUCUGGGGAGAGAUCCACUCGUUAUUGAGGACAUCCUGCAGCCCUGCCAGGCUCUGAAGGCAACACAUGGUGACAAGGUGCUGAAGUCAUCAUCCUAAAUCAGAGAUUUUAGUGGCUGACAUUCAGUAUUCUGAGAUUUUUCAAAAGCAUUUUAAAAAGCCUGAAGAGCAGUGGAAUCCUGGGUGGUUCAGGCUCUCUAGGUGUUUGCGAGUGAUUCAUCAGAACACUCUGACAGCAGCUUUUGUACAAUUUGUUGUCUCUGUGGACAGAGACAACAAAUCCCAGAUGGGUGAAGUAGCUUUGGCUGAAUCUGGGGUUGAUCUGCCUACAAAACCAGGGUGGCCCUACAUCCUGCCCUUUCUCUCCUCUACCUGUGCCCUGUCUGGUGUGAAGGGUGCCAAGGACUUCAUGGCAGCAAAGAUGUGCUCACAGCUCUCCGGGCCAUCACAGAGCUCGGACAGGGGAUGUCACAGGAUGGGCCCUUGGCUGCGAUCCCAGUGUUGCCCUGGCAUGGGCGAGUGUGGCCUGGCAUUGCUGGAGAUUCGUGCCCUUCCUGCUCUCUGCCUGGCAGCUGCUGUUGUUAUCUCCAUUGCCAUGGCAAUGCCAGCCUGGCUCCCACGGCGUGUCCGCCUGUGCCUCCGCCAGGCAGACGCGGUCCCACGCCGGGCUGGAGCCCCGCUCCCACCACAGCUCACCCAGCUGAACAGCCACGCCACAGACAGGGGUUUAGCACAACCCCAAAACGCUGUGGGGAUGGAGAUGGGCAUGUCCCCUCCCCCGGGAGGUGAUAUCUGGGUGGGAAGCAGGGGGAGAAGGAGAGUCUGCACCUGGAACAUCUCCCAGCCCUGCCCUGCUGUGUCCAGCCAGGUGCCUUCCACCACAGCAGGACCCCUGUGCCCCACAGCCACCCUGGGCUCAGCCAUAGCCCCCCUGUGCUGGUACCAGCCCCUGGCCCCAAAAGUCGUAUUGAUCAGCACCUGGCUGCACCAAUAUUAAAGUGUUUGCCAGCAACUGCUGAUUUAACAAAUCCUCCUGUCUGCUUAUUUAUGCCAUCUUCCCGCCUCCCACCUGGACCUUCUUGAUGCUUUAGGAAUUUUGCAAAUGUUUUAAAGGCUGCAUUUCAAAGUGCACCAGGCAGCUAGCAAGGAGCAGGUCACUGGAAAGGGUGAGGAGAGGCAGAAAAGAUCCUCCACCCUGCAAGGCAGCCGCUGCUCUCACCAUCAUCCAUCCUUGCAUGCUCCCUGCACUCUCCCACUGCAGUUCCUUGUGUUCUGUGCACCCACCCUGGCCCCAGCCCCAAGGCUGGAUGCAGGGGUUUGAAUUAAUGGUGAGGGGAAGUCCAAAGCGGCGCUUCCCAUCCACUGGUUGCCUUUUCCUGGCUGUGGAGGCAAGAUCUGGGCCCAGGUCCGUGUUGGAUUGCCAGCCUCAAAGCAGGAGAGCGAAGUGCAAAUGGAAAAGCAGAACAGAG